RNAcentral lists this unclassified non-coding RNA (89 nucleotides) under Pseudomonas sp. NFACC14. The record is from RNAcentral. Lineage: Bacteria; Pseudomonadati; Pseudomonadota; Gammaproteobacteria; Pseudomonadales; Pseudomonadaceae.
UGUGGGGGCGAGCUUGCUCGCGAUGGCGUCAGUCCAGUCAAUAGAGUAUCGACUGAUCCACCGCUAUCGCGAGCAAGCUCGCUCCCACA